This 253-nucleotide ribosomal RNA is filed under the name uncultured bacterium. RNAcentral describes it as "partial 16S ribosomal RNA". It matches the Rfam family "Bacterial small subunit ribosomal RNA", at positions 524 to 776 of the family's 1533-position model. The record is from RNAcentral.
UACGAAGGGGGCUAGCGUUGCUCGGAAUCACUGGGCGUAAAGCGCACGUAGGCGGAUUCUUAAGUCAGGGGUGAAAUCCUGGAGCUCAACUCCAGAACUGCCUUUGAUACUGGGAGUCUCGAGUCCGGGAGAGGUGAGUGGAACUGCGAGUGUAGAGGUGAAAUUCGUAGAUAUUGGGAAGAACACCAGUGGCGAAGGCGGCUCACUGGCCCGUAACUGACGCUGAGGUGCGAAAGCGUGGGGAGCAAACAGG